CUCUCGUUCCCCUCGACAUUCUCUGGGAUUUCUCUAGGAAUCGACUUGCGUUGCAACAGCGUGAUAAGACCUAAGCGUCGCCGUUCUCUCCAGGUGACUGCAGCGGGGAAGAAACUUCUCUGCAUGACUAAAAGGAAUAAGUCUCGUAAGUCACUUGCUCGGGUUCAUGGCUUCCGCAGACGGAUGAGAACCACUAGUGGGAGAGCGGUAUUGCAGCGGAGACGUGCCAA
This 230-nucleotide unclassified non-coding RNA is filed under the name Hevea brasiliensis (rubber tree). Lineage: Eukaryota; Viridiplantae; Streptophyta; Magnoliopsida; Malpighiales; Euphorbiaceae. The record is from RNAcentral.